This 486-nucleotide ribosomal RNA is filed under the name uncultured bacterium. RNAcentral's name for it is "bacterial SSU rRNA". It matches the Rfam family "Bacterial small subunit ribosomal RNA", at positions 26 to 507 of the family's 1533-position model. The record is from RNAcentral.
AGGAUGAACGCUAGCGGCAGGCUUAAUACAUGCAAGUCGUGGGCAGCAUGAGUAGCAAUACUUGAUGGCGACCGGCAAACGGGUGAGGAACACGUACACAACCUUCCUUCAAGCGGGGAAUAGCCCAGAGAAAUUUGGAUUAAUACCCCAUAAUAUAUUUGAUAAGGCAUCUUAUUAAUAUUAAAGCUUCGGCACUUGAUGAUGGGUGUGCGGCUGAUUAGAUAGUUGGCGGGGUAACGGCCCACCAAGUCUACGAUCAGUAGCUGAUGUGAGAGCAUGAUCAGCCACACGGGCACUGAGACACGGGCCCGACUCCUACGGGAGGCAGCAGUAAGGAAUAUUGGACAAUGGACGAAAGUCUGAUCCAGCCAUGCCGCGUGAAGGAUUAAGGUCCUCUGGAUUGUAAACUUCUUUUAUAUGGGACGAAAAAAGGGCAUUCUUGUUCACUUGACGGUACCAUAUGAAUAAGCACCGGCUAACUCCGUG